Molecule: ribosomal RNA, 329 nt
Filed under: uncultured eukaryote
Lineage: Eukaryota
Description: partial 18S ribosomal RNA
Rfam family: Eukaryotic small subunit ribosomal RNA
Source: RNAcentral
CCCUUAGAUGUUCUGGGCCGCACGCGCGCUACACUGAUGCAUUCAACGAGUCUAAAACCUGCUCUGAUAGGGGUGGGUAAUCUUUUGAAUGUGCAUCGUGAUUGGGAUAGAUGAUUGCAAUUUUUCAUCUUCAACGAGGAAUGCCUAGUAAACGCAAGUCAUCAGUUUGCAUUGAUUACGUCCCUGCCCUUUGUACACACCGCCCGUCGCUCCUACCGAUUGAAUGAUCCGAUGAAUAUCAUGGAUUGAGGAUUAUAGCAGGUUCGCCUGUCUUGAUCUUCGAGAAGUGAAGUAAAUCUUAUCAUUUAGAGGAAGGAGAAGUCGUAACA